UAGAUUGAAGCCAGUUGUGUAGGGUAUUUAGCUGUUAACUAAAUUUUCAUGGGGUUGGAGCCCAUCAGUCUAG
Molecule: transfer RNA, 73 nt
Filed under: Myospalax psilurus
Lineage: Eukaryota; Metazoa; Chordata; Mammalia; Rodentia; Spalacidae
Description: tRNA-Asn
Source: RNAcentral